UCGUAGCUCAGCAGGAUAGAGCAACGGCCUUCUAAGCCGUAGGUCGCAGGUUCGAAUCCUGCCGG
Molecule: transfer RNA, 65 nt
Filed under: human gut metagenome
Rfam family: tRNA
About the family: Transfer RNA (tRNA) molecules are approximately 80 nucleotides in length. Their secondary structure includes four short double-helical elements and three loops (D, anti-codon, and T loops). Further hydrogen bonds mediate the characteristic L-shaped molecular structure. tRNAs have two regions of fundamental functional importance: the anti-codon, which is responsible for specific mRNA codon recognition, and the 3' end, to which the tRNAs corresponding amino acid is attached (by aminoacyl-tRNA synthetases). tRNAs cope with the degeneracy of the genetic code in two manners: having more than one tRNA (with a specific anti-codon) for a particular amino acid; and 'wobble' base-pairing, i.e. permitting non-standard base-pairing at the 3rd anti-codon position.
Source: RNAcentral